This 4347-nucleotide long non-coding RNA is filed under the name Brassica napus (rape). RNAcentral's name for it is "long non-coding RNA (BNAP_LNC027176)". Lineage: Eukaryota; Viridiplantae; Streptophyta; Magnoliopsida; Brassicales; Brassicaceae. The record is from RNAcentral.
GGCGGUGGUAUGUGAUAGCUCAACAAUCUGCCACAACACAUUCCUUGCAAGGCUGUUGCGUCACAUACGCUAUUUCGGAAGAGUGAAACAUGCGGACCCAGGUAGCUUAGGUGGUUCAGGACUAGGCUUGGACCCGAUGUUGCCUUACCUUGGCUAAACUCCCCCAAACAUACAAUGUAAGUACUACCAACAACAAGAAAACCAAAAACUUCUUUUCUCUCUCUCUCUCUAUCUUGGUGUAAUAUGUUUCCAUGGCGAGUUGUUCCUUGUACAGGAAAAGAUUUGUUAUCAGUUGUCGUUACCACAGAAAGUAAUUUGUAUAUGAAAAGACAGAAAUAUUCAUGUAUAUUUUAUACAAUUGGUGUGGCGUCAUAUUUUACCACAUAUCCACUAAGUUAUUCUGGUCUGGUAAAACAAACACAAUUAAACAGUUUUUGAUUACUGUUCUAUAUUCCAAAUCAUUUUAGUUAAUAGUUAUUAAAGAAAAUGGUUAAGUUGCUCGUAGAUUAAUGGGGAGAGUAACAAACAAGAAAGCAAAGAGUUGUCGUUAUAAUUGUGCCUUGAUUUGGUCGUGAAGUAAAGUUUUUCUUGAUUAUAUGUAACACGUAACAACUAAUGACAGUCAAUUGAUUAUUUAGUUUAUAUACUAAAUAUAUCUUCUUCUUGAAGAGAAAAAAAAAUCCUUAAUUACUCUAUAAUGAUUACAGUUUGGUAGAUAUGAUGUUAUUAGUACUAUUAUACACAUCUCCGGAGAUUGGUGGAUCUACAAGGUGUUACUCAAAGCCAAUCAUUAUCACAUAUUUGUAUACAUGUGAUACGAAUAACGUUUGGUGGUUCAGUAGUACUAUUAUACUAAGAAAGCGAUGGUUGAUUUGUACCUAAAGUGAUAGUUUACACCAUUUAUCCUGUCUCACUUUCUCGUCCAGCAAAAUAUAUAUAUUGAGUUUCUCCUCUCUCAUGGUAUGCUCUCCUGUUUUUCUUAUUCUUUUAGAUUCUGCAUUUUUUUGUUGUUUGGGUUAAUUGUCAUUUUCUUAUUUCAUUCUUUUAUUGAAUUAUUUUCUUAGAAGAUUUUGUUGGUUGUAGGCUAGUCUUUCUUCUGUUCUUGGCUAUUGCUUUCUUUUUCUACAUUUGUAUGAUAAUACCUGACUACUGUAGUCAACUUGUUUUGAUAUGUGCACAACUUGCAGAAUGAGUUAAUGUUGAUAUGCUCCUUAUACAAAAUGUUUUGGUUUGAAUAAGCCCAUAUGAUUUCGUUUCACAUUGUACUGUGAUUUUUCUUGUGAUUCACUAACUCCCAAUGUUUUUUUUUUUGCCAUUUUCCAUGCUCCAAAAUUUUCUUUAAUAAGAUUUGUCUUAUUUCUCAUUCAUAUUGUGAAAUGGUUUAUUUGGGUAUACACCAAAAUAAUCUUAUUGGUUUAUAAAUUCAGUAAAGAGUGUCUUUAAUUUGAGACCUAGAAUCAUUUAUAGUAAAAUGCCAAUUGGAUGUUAAACAUGAAUCUUUAGAAAAUAUUUAAAAAUUUUGUGUUACUGAACUUAUGAUUUUAAAAUAUAUUAAAAAUGUUUCAAUGAAAAUGUUUCAGUUAGUGAAUAAUAAUAAAAUAUUGUGAUCUAAGAUGUUGUGGUAGAGAUUUUUAGUUAAAAGGAUAAAAAAUGAAUAUUUAAUCUUUUUAGAUGAGAUAUUUAGUGGUGUUAGAAGGAACUGAAUUUUGAAUGAUUUGUAAAAGAUUUAUCCUGUUGUUAUUAGUUUAUUGAUUUUAACAAUCUAGUGUUACUAGUUUGCUGAUUAUUUAAUUACAGAUAAAAUCUACUAUUAUCUAAAAAGUUUGAUUUUAAUGAUUCUAUUACGAUGUCACUGGAACUUGAAUUAUAAAAAAAUUAAUUCCUAACAGAAUAUUUUUAACAGAAUAUUUUCUUAGAUUUUAUAAAUAUGCAAAACCCUUUGCAGUUCUUUAUAAAUUUAACAAAAUUAGCAUCUCUUAGGAUCAAUACUUUAUGUAAGUUAAACUUCCACUAACACCUUUUAAGUGUUUUUAUAUUUAAACUUUUUACAUAUUUAAUCCUUGUUUACAUAUUCAACCCUUUUUAUAUAUCUAACUUUUUUCUUGUCUCUCUCUCUUUGAUAUUUCAUAUUUAACUUUGCUUGCAAAAUUCCCAUGUUCGAUUUUCUAUUCUUUUAUUUAAAAUAAAGGAGAGAGAGAGAAAUAAAGACUUUCAUGUUUUCGCGGAAAACAAAAACAAAAAUUCGCCGCUUCAAGUUUCAAAAUAAAUGCUGAAAGUGAGUUGUGUGUCUGUCUAAAUUCAAAACCGCUUUUGUCACCUUCCUCAGAGCAUAACGAUGCUGAAAGUUCCUGAUUCUUCUUCACCCACCGGAGUUCUCGAAGAAUUCUUCAGAACCGAAGAAUUUGAAAGCUCCGAGGCCGCGAAGAACCCUUCCUCUUCUCGUUUCCGCAGAAUCGUUGAGCUUCUAAGAAGCACAUCGAAAAAAUCGCUGGAGAAUCUGAAGAUUCCGUUUCACAACAAUGCCGUUAAGAGCUCUUUGAGGAGAUGCACUAGCUUGAGGGACAAUCUCAGAUUCGGAUCCUCCAACGAUGCUCAUUUUCUUGUACACUCUCCUCGAAGAAUCUUCACUUUCUCUGAGCUCAAGGUUGCUACAAACAAUUUCGCUUUCGGUAAGUAUCAAAUCUGAAAUCUCAACAUGGGUUUGUUUGAUUGUUUUGUUUGUUGCGUUUCGGUUUAGUAUCGGUUUGAUAAAAUUCCUACUGUUGAUUUUCUGGUUUACUUGGUUUAGCAGACUUUUUUUUUUGUUUACUUGGUUUACUACUAAACUUUAAAGUAAACCAGUGAAUCAAAGUUGUCAUGUCUAAAUGUUUUAUGAUUUGAAUUGUUAAUAAAAUCAUGUUUUUGUUGAACAUAUAGUUGAACUGACCAAACUAAAGAAGAUUUGCGUGUAAUAAUAGCAAUAUUUUCUUCUGGGCAGAGAAUCUAAUUGGGAAAGGAGGUUAUGCUGAAGUGUACAAGGGGAGGUUGUCAAAUGGACAAAUGGUAGCUAUAAAACGGCUGAUGCGGGGAAAUAGCGAGGAGAUCAUUGGAGACUUUCUAUCAGAGAUGGGCAUAAUGGCACAUGUUAACCAUUCAAACAUUGCCAAGCUUUUGGGCUAUGGUGUCGAAGGUGGAAUGCAUCUUGUUCUUGAGUUAUCACCUCAUGGGAGCUUAGCUUCUAUGCUUUAUAGUAAACUCUCUUCCUCCAUCACUCUUGCAUGCAUGCCUUUAUGAUUAUCAUCCAAAUUAGAGAACAUUGUUUGAUUGAUAUAGGCUCCAAGGAGAAGAUGAAUUGGAGCAUCAGGUACAAGAUUGCAUUGGGAGUUGCAGAGGGUCUCGUCUAUCUUCACAGAGGAUGUCACAGGAGAAUCAUUCACAGAGAUAUUAAGGCCGCAAACAUUCUUCUCACUCAUGAUUUUUCGCCUCAGGUACGGUAUAUAUUGGAAGAAAACAAAACAUAUCUUUAAUUGGUUCUUUGCCUCUGAUGAAAUGUCUUGGGAUUUUAGAUAUGCGAUUUUGGGCUUGCAAAGUGGCUACCUGAACACUGGACGCACCAUAUUGUUUCCAAGUUUGAAGGCACGUUCGGGUAAGACUACGUACGCAUUAAGCAUAUACUUCCUUGGAUAAUUGUUUUCUUUUUUUUUUCUUUUACCAAGCAAGUCUCAGAGAUGGAUUUUGUUUCAGAUAUCUUGCUCCUGAGUACUUAACUCACGGGAUAGUAGACGAGAAGACUGAUGUAGCUGGAUGAUUUUCCAGUUGCUGAUGGAGUUGAGGUCGCAACCAUUGACAGCUUUCAAGGACGGGAGGCUGAUGCAGUGAUCAUAUCAAUGGUACACUAUUACCUUCUGUAGCAUUGCAUGCCUUUUUAUUUUAUUUUGCCAAGUGCAAAGAAGAUUCAUGUAGUUGGUUGCUGCUUUUGUAUAGGUACGGUCCAACAACCUAGGUGCAGUGGGAUUCCUAGGGGAUAGCAGAAGGAUGAACGUAGCCAUAACAAGAGCCCGGAAGCACGUGGCGGUGGUAUGUGAUAGCUCAACAAUCUGCCACAACACAUUCCUUGCAAGGCUGUUGCGUCACAUACGCUAUUUCGGAAGAGUGAAACAUGCGGACCCAGGUAGCUUAGGUGGUUCAGGACUAGGCUUGGACCCGAUGUUGCCUUACCUUGGCUAAACUCCCCCAAACAUACAAUGUAAGUACUACCAACAACAAGAAAACCAAAAACUUCUUUUCUCUCUCUCUCUCUAUCUUGGUGUAAUAUGUUUCCAUGGCGAGUUGUUCCUUGUACAGGAAAAGAUUUGUUAUCAGUUGUCG